RNAcentral lists this transfer RNA (68 nucleotides) under Ictidomys tridecemlineatus (thirteen-lined ground squirrel). Its description in RNAcentral is "Spermophilus tridecemlineatus (thirteen-lined ground squirrel) tRNA". It matches the Rfam family "tRNA". From Rfam's summary of the family: Transfer RNA (tRNA) molecules are approximately 80 nucleotides in length. Their secondary structure includes four short double-helical elements and three loops (D, anti-codon, and T loops). Lineage: Eukaryota; Metazoa; Chordata; Mammalia; Rodentia; Sciuridae. The record is from Rfam by way of RNAcentral.
GGGGUUGUGGCUCAGCAUAGAGCACUUGCCUAGCAAGUAUGAGGCCCUGGGUUCAAUCCUCAGCACCA